CAUGCCGCGUGUGUGAAGAAGGCUUUCGGGUUGUAAAGCACUUUCAGCGGGGAGGAAGGCUCAGAAGUUAAUACCUUCUGGGAUUGACGUUACCCGCAGAAGAAGCACCGGCUAACUCCGUGCCAGCAACUUCGGUGACUGAGCGGGCUGGCAAGGCGCAUA
Molecule: ribosomal RNA, 162 nt
Filed under: uncultured bacterium
Lineage: Bacteria
Description: partial 16S ribosomal RNA
Rfam family: Bacterial small subunit ribosomal RNA
Source: RNAcentral